UCUAUGCCCGAAUGUACAUUCUGAAGGAGGUACUCGCGACGCAGAAAAUCAUACGAAUGGCGGGCCUUAUGGUUCGGAAACAUCUUUAUUGUCAGUUCAGCUCCUACAAAGGUUUAUCUACGUAGCAGCGAAAGUAAACGCUGUUUGGUUUAUUCGACUUAUCUUUGAGCUGCCCGCCGGAAGAAUAGUAUUUGAUUCGUACAAAGGAAGACCGCUUUUACCAGAAUAUGUGGCGAGAGCACGUGGCCACAAUGAAAUCGCCGAAUACUUGGAGGAUGUGACCAAAAGAUAUUCUGAAAGUGAGAGAACAGACAAGGAGAAGCUCAACGCCAUCAAUUGGCAGGAAAUCGCUACAGCCAUUGAGGCAACACAAGAAAGUCCGAACUCAUCAACAGAAGGUGUUUUUAAAGUAGCAGUCUCCUCGAAUAAUCGAGAAAAGUGUUUGGAGGAAACAAAAGUUGCGGACAUAGAGUUGA
Non-coding RNA from Pocillopora verrucosa, 476 nucleotides. NCBI's taxonomy places the organism in Eukaryota, Metazoa, Cnidaria, Anthozoa, Scleractinia, Pocilloporidae. The record is from RefSeq and is a predicted model, not a curated record.